Molecule: long non-coding RNA, 366 nt
Filed under: Mus musculus (house mouse)
Lineage: Eukaryota; Metazoa; Chordata; Mammalia; Rodentia; Muridae
Description: long non-coding RNA chr9:64986279-64986645
Source: RNAcentral
UUCCAUGAUAGGCACAGCUCCUGAGAAGCUUGGACAGAUGAGGAGCGAGCGCAGGAAGAAGCCUAGGCAGCCAGGGCCGUCUAGCAUCCAGAAAGCGACUCUUCAUGUCUCAAUUACAAGGACAUUCUUAAACUUCUGUGCUUGGAAGAAGCAAUCCAGAUGUCUAGAACUUGCCUAAGUACAAACCCGAUGCCAUUGAGUUUCAAUUUUUUUCUUAGAACUUGUUAAAAUACAAGUGGCAAUGCUCAGGUGCUUCUGGUGUAUCCCAAGGUACACAUUUUUAGACUGUAACCACAAUAUGUGUAAAAUCACUCCUGUUCAUGUUUUUAAAUGAAAAUUAAAUAUUUGAUUUUCUAUAGUGAUUGC